This 241-nucleotide long non-coding RNA is filed under the name Elaeis guineensis (African oil palm). RNAcentral's name for it is "long non-coding RNA (EGUI_LNC068953)". The record is from RNAcentral. Lineage: Eukaryota; Viridiplantae; Streptophyta; Magnoliopsida; Arecales; Arecaceae.
GCUUCGAUGAGGCCUCUGACCUGCUAUGCCAGCAAGUCAAACUGCUCCGCGCCGACCGCCGCCGCUGGAGGAGGAGGAGGAGGUUGAGAAAUAGGAGGGGAGGCUGGAGCCGGAGAUCUGGCCGCAGAGGCCGUGGACCGUCGCGUGGACGCCUUGCGUGGAGGCAUCGAGUGUGGAUCCAGCAGGGGAAAAUAAGGAGUGGGUGUCGGAGGAGAUGAUCGGAGGCGGCUCCGUUGAACGC